ACUCCUGCGGGAGGCAGCAGUGGGGAAUAUUGGACAAUGGGCGCAAGCCUGAUCCAGCCAUGCCGCGUGAGUGAUGAAGGCCCUAGGGUUGUAAAGCUCUUUCACCGGUGAAGAUAAUGACGGUAACCGGAGAAGAAGCCCCGGCUAACUUCGUGCCAGCAGCCGCGGUAAUACGAAGGGGGCUAGCGUUGUUCGGAUUUACUGGGCGUAAAGCGCACGUAGGCGGACUAUUAAGUCAGGGGUGAAAUCCCGGGGCUCAACCCCGGAACUGCCUUUGAUACUGGUAGUCUUGAGUUCGAGAGAGGUGAGUGGAAUUCCGAGUGUAGAGGUGAAAUUCGUAGAUAUUCGGAGGAACACCAGUGGCGAAGGCGGCUCACUGGCUCGAUACUGACGCUGAGGUGCGAAAGCGUGGGGAGCAAACAGGAUUAGAAACCCUGGUAGUCCCAUGAU
RNAcentral lists this ribosomal RNA (450 nucleotides) under uncultured organism. RNAcentral's name for it is "partial 16S ribosomal RNA". It matches the Rfam family "Bacterial small subunit ribosomal RNA", at positions 335 to 801 of the family's 1533-position model. The record is from RNAcentral.